Non-coding RNA from Paramuricea clavata, 635 nucleotides. NCBI's taxonomy places the organism in Eukaryota, Metazoa, Cnidaria, Anthozoa, Malacalcyonacea, Plexauridae. The record is from the annotation of a GenBank genome assembly.
CCCGUUGCCCCCACUCAGAAUUUACAUUGGUAGGUGCAUAAUACAGCGGCUGUAUGCAUGUGUGUACGCAUAACUUUUUGAUAUACCGGUAUGUAAAUGAACCAAUUUGAAUCCACCUAUUAGCUCUAUACAGCUAUUUCAAUUAAAAGCUGUAUACAGCUAAUAGGUGGAUUAAAGAAUUUUUUAGCGAUUACCAGCAGCCUUUUGCGCCUGUAUUCGACUUUUUUGUUUUGCUCCGGGACAUCCUUAAUUGAAAUAGCUGUAUACAGUACUAGGAUAUGGCCAUGUAUAGGUUAUCAGGGGCGGCGGAAAGUCGAUAAUUGGGGGGGCUGAUAUUCAUAUAUUCAUGUUCUGCAUCAUUUAUUUCCUUUGAAAGUGAUUGUUUUUACAGUCUGUGAACACGAAUAUAUGAAUAUCAGCCCCCCCCCCCACAAUUAUUGACUUUCCGCCGCUCCUGUAGGUUAUUGGUAAAUAUCAAGAUUUUGUUGACAUCUCAGUUGAUCGAAUAUCCACUGAAUUAAAUAUAUAAAUUUCCACUCGAUAAUUUCCAUCUACAACACCUUCAUUUUCACAUAAAAUAUUAUAGCUAGUAGCUGAUUGUUCCACUGCUUCCACUUGCCCAACACUAAAUUUCC